RNAcentral lists this long non-coding RNA (369 nucleotides) under Gossypium raimondii (Peruvian cotton). RNAcentral describes it as "long non-coding RNA (GRAI_LNC002849)". Lineage: Eukaryota; Viridiplantae; Streptophyta; Magnoliopsida; Malvales; Malvaceae. The record is from RNAcentral.
UGAUCUACAGUUACAGUGGGGCGAUUACACACCUGUCUUAGAUUGAGAGAAGAGAGAAAGGUUUCAACAACUUGAUAUUACUUGAUACUCCCUCAAUCUCGAGGAUUUUAAACAAACAGAGAAGAGUGAUAUACAGUUGAACCACAGACAAUAAAGGAAGAUAACUUAUCGAUUUAAAAAGAAAAAAAAAGGUAGAAAAUAAAGACAAAAAGAGAAUGAUAUACGGCUAGAAAAGAAGAAGAGAAGAGAAAGAGAGAAAGAGAAGAGAGAAUUUGGCAACAAGAGGAGAGGGGAAAAAGAAAGGAAAGAGCAGAAAAAGAAAGCAACAAACCCGAGAGGUACUUCUUAAACUUGGCAAAAUCAGCACCC